Long non-coding RNA from Lycium ferocissimum, 2032 nucleotides. RefSeq lists it as uncharacterized. The transcript is spliced from 2 exons. NCBI's taxonomy places the organism in Eukaryota, Viridiplantae, Streptophyta, Magnoliopsida, Solanales, Solanaceae. The record is from RefSeq and is a predicted model, not a curated record.
UUAUAUUGCUAACAAAAGCUUAAUGAGCUUAGUGAAGUUGUAGUAGUUGGAGACUUGUUUUAGAAGUUUAUGAAAAUUGAAUAUGAUGUUCUUGCAUGUAUGGCAUAUAAUGUUGUUAGUAUGAUGUUGUUAGUGCGUAAAUUAUUAGGUUGUUAUUGUUCUUAUUGGAGUUGGAAGGUCUUGGAGGAAGUAGUAUAUUGAUUGAGUUGUUAAAAUGUAUCUUGGGUUGAUUAUUGGAAUUGUUAGUACGGUUGUUGGCAUUGUUGUUGAUAGUUUGGCCGGGUUGAAUUCCUGGAUUGUUGUUGAUUAAAAUUUGCCAAGUUGAAUUUUUGGGGAUGGUGUAUUUACAGGGGAAGUGCUGCCAGAAUUUCGGUAGACAAGUGUUACUUUAAGAUUCAACUUCCAAAUGCUCUAAUUAAUGUUUGGUAAAUGUGACCAAAUGUAGAUUUUGGAGAAUUUGGAACGUGAAAUUGGAGAAGCGUAGGAAGCGAAAAAGGUAUGUAAAGCUUUGCCUUUCUUUCUUUUGGCAUGUCUUAGACAUAAUAGGUUUGGAAACGAACCUCGGGGAUGAUCCUAUUCCUAGAAAUCCGAGUUUGAAUUUGACCCUUUUUCAUUCAAAAGAGAAUUGAAUUAAAUAUUGUAUCAAAUGUUGGAAAAUUGCCUAAACAUCUAGAACUUGCACAAAUAGGACCUGAUUACCUUAAAACUCUCACAAGUGACGUCAUGAAAUGUAACAUACGUAAAUUGUGUACGCCACCUCAUUUGGUCCGAGGUGGGCCCAUUGUUCCCGGACUCUUCUUUAUUGUUCCGUUUAUCAAACAAAAAGUGUUGUAACUAAUCUAAUGAGAAUAAUUCUAUGGUGACAACGAUAAGAAUGGUUUCACGUCUAAAAGUCUCAAGUUAUAGAUUCAAUAUGAAUAUGAGAAUAUUGAGUUAGAUCUUGAUUCAUAAUCCUAUUCCACAAUUAUGAUUCCAUUUUCUAAAGACUUCAAGAACAUAAGUUGACGCCUUAUAAGGUUCAUGAUCUUAUCACAUGUUUUCUCUUAAUACCAUCUUUCAUUUGUAGUCUCGCCUUAUAGUACUAGUUCCUCCAAGGUGGGACAAAGCGGCCAUGGUUAUUCCAUAAUGUAAUCGGAGGCUACCGACCUUACGUCACUCCGAUACGGACAUGACUUUCUUUGGGCUCUCAUGCAUGCGGUUUAUAUGUUAUAAGUAUAUGUAUAUGUAUAUGGGAGAAGAUAGGAAAAGGGCAGAGCGCUAUAGACGCUAUCCACCUGAUCAGUUGGCAUUGUAUGACAUGAUAUCGUCCCGGACGCGGGAUAUAUGGGCGAGCCGACGUAUUUCGGCGCUAUGAUAUGAUAUGAUAUGAUAUGAUAUGUUCUAUUUUCUACGCAUAUGAAAAGAAAUGUUUUCAAAGGAAAGCUAGCAUGCAUGGUAUCCGCCCUAAGGGGGCACUCCGAUGUACAGGUUACUCUUUUAUCUCAUGAUAUGCUCAGACAGAAGUACACCGUACCUGUAUGGUCGGGCAGUUUACAUGUAAAUAUUUAUAUGUUGUUUCAAAGGGAAAAUUAGCUUACAUGAUAUCUGCCUUAAGAGGCAAACAGAGGUACAGGUUAUUUUCUUACUCCAUACUGUUCUUUAUGUCUUUUACCAUGAUCUUAUGUUAUUACUCUUGCCUUACAUACUCAGUACAUUGUUCGUACUGACCCCUCUUCUUCGGGAGUUGCGUUUCAUGCCACGCAGGUACACCCAGAUGAGUUGAAGCUAUUAUAGAGACGUUCCAGCGAAGUUGGCGAGCUCCAUUUGGCCCUGGAUGUAGCCGAGUCAGCGUACUAUGCUAUGAUGUUUUGUUCGAAGUUAGAGACUUUGCAGACAGAGUCGUGGGUAUCGAGUCGAUCUUUGUAUAAUGAUAUAAGUGUUACACAGUUACAGAUUUUAUUUGAUUUGAAAGCAACAAAAGAAUAUUUCAGUAAGCUAUAUUAUGUAUACUUGAUUUAGAGGUUCAAAAAAAAAAAAAUUAAGCACGUAAUAA